RNAcentral lists this ribosomal RNA (1687 nucleotides) under human gut metagenome. RNAcentral describes it as "bacterial LSU rRNA". It matches the Rfam family "Bacterial large subunit ribosomal RNA", at positions 1243 to 2925 of the family's 2925-position model. The record is from RNAcentral.
GUAAGCCUGCGAAGGUGGUUCGAGAGGACUGCUGGAGGUAUCAGAAGUGCGAAUGCUGACAUGAGUAACGUUAAAGCAGGUGAAAAGCCUGCUCGCCGUAAGCCCAAGGUUUCCUGCUCUACGUUCAUCGGAGCAGGGUGAGUCGGCCCCUAAGGCGAGGCUGAGAAGCGUAGCUGAUGGGAACAAGGUUAAUAUUCCUUGACCGCCGUUGAGUGCGAAGGGGGGACGGAGUGUUGAAGAUCAUCCGGGUGUUGGAUGUCCCGGUUUGUGAACGUAGGAGGCCGGCAGGCAAAUCCGCCGGCAAAUCUCCGAGGUGAAGCAUCGAGGUCCGUACGGACCGAAGUGAUCGGAUGGGCUCCCAGGAAAAGCCUCUAAGCUCCAGCUCAACGGGACCGUACCGCAAACCGACACUGGUGGGCGAGCUGAAUAUGCUCAGGCGCUUGAGAGAACUCAGGAGAAGGAACUCGGCAAAUUGACACCGUAACUUCGGGAUAAGGUGUGCCUCGGUAGCGUGAAGGAAGAAACAUCCGGAGCGUGAAGAGGUCUCAGAGAAUCGGUGGCUGCGACUGUUUACUAAAAACACAGCACUCUGCAAAGACGAAAGUCGACGUAUAGGGUGUGAUGCCUGCCCGGUGCUGGAAGAUUAAUUGAUGGGGUGCAAGCUCCUGAUCGAAGUCCCAGUAAACGGCGGCCGUAACUAUAACGGUCCUAAGGUAGCGAAAUUCCUUGUCGGGUAAGUUCCGACCUGCACGAAUGGCAUAAUGAUGGCCACACUGUCUCCUCCCGAGACUCAGUGAAGUUGAAAUGUUUGUGAUGAUGCAAUCUCCCCGCGGCUAGACGGAAAGACCCCAUGAACCUUUACUGUAGCUUUGCAUUGGACUUUGAACCGAUCUGUGUAGGAUAGGUGGGAGGCUGUGAAACCGGGACGCCAGUACCGGUGGAGCCGUCCUUGAAAUACCACCCUGAUUUGUUUGAGGUUCUAACCUAGGUCGGUAAUCCCGAUCGGGGACCGUGCAUGGUAGGCAGUUUGACUGGGGCGGUCUCCUCCUAAAGGGUAACGGAGGAGUGCGAAGGUACGCUAGGUACGGUCGGAAAUCGUGCUGAUAGUGCAAUGGCAAAAGCGUGCUUGACUGCGAGACCCACAAGUCGAGCAGAUACGAAAGUAGGUCAUAGUGAUCCGGUGGCUCUGUAUGGAAGGGCCAUCGCUCAACGGAUAAAAGGUACUCUGGGGAUAACAGGCUGAUACCGCCCAAGAGUUCAUAUCGACGGCGGUGUUUGGCACCUCGAUGUCGGCUCAUCUCAUCCUGGGGCUGUAGCCGGUCCCAAGGGUAUGGCUGUUCGCCAUUUAAAGAGGUACGUGAGCUGGGUUUAAAACGUCGUGAGACAGUUUUGUCCCUAUCUGCCGUGGGCGCUGGAAGAUUGACGGGGGCUGCUCCUAGUACGAGAGGACCGGAGUGGACUCACCUCUGGUGUACCGGUUGUCACGCCAGUGGCAUUGCCGGGUAGCUAUGUGGGGAAGAGAUAACCGCUGAAAGCAUCUAAGCGGGAAACUUGCCUGAAGAUAAGUCUUCCUGGAGGCUUGACCUCCCUAAAGAGUCGUUCGAGACCAGGACGUUGAUAGGUUGGGUGUGUAAGCGCUGUGAGGCGUUGAGCUAACCAAUACUAAUUGCUCGUGCAGCUUGAUCCU